UCACACUUACAAUUAUGCAGCUUCCAAGCUUAAAUACAACCCAACGGAAAAGGGUACAAUAGCCAUCCGUUAUAAUAUAACUUAAAGUUUUCAAAAGAAAACAAUCUAGUACUACUCACGAGCACCCUUGGUCUCGAACCCUGUAAAAGAAAACCACAACGUGGGAUGAGCUACACAGCCCAGUGAGGUUCCAAGACACUCUAACAGUUCAAAUAAAUCAAGUAAGUUGGGCAUAUCAUAUGCAUGGUUCAAUGUUACACAAUGGCGUGUUAUCAUGAGGUGAUAAUCAUUGUACGAGUAAUUUGAGACAUUUAUCAUGGUAUGAGACAUUUAUCAUGAGACAGGUAUCAUGAUAUAAGUACAUUGGUCAGGUAACAGGUAUGGAGCAUAUCACAGGCAUAGUUCAGGAUUUCAUGUUGACAUUUUAGCAUGAAACAAUUAUCAUGAUACAAGGUAAACAUAUACGGUAGGAUACGGUGUUCCAGUGGAACUCUGUCGGUCAUCUGCACCUUAUGACUUCUGAUCCCCACGGUACGGUCUGGCCAUCGCCUUAUCCCUCCAGUGGUAAUACUCGAGUAUACCGAAACGGUGGCCAGGGUUCCAACCUACCCGACCGAGCCCAGUCCUGGCUCGAGUAGGUCAGUAACCGGGCGGGCCCAAGUUCAGCUUAUAGCUUACAACAUGCACAGGUAACAAGUAAUUCGACAAAAGGUAAAAUUUAUCAUUUGAGAGGUCGAGUGAGGUAAAGUACACACUCGCCUAAAAUGUGGCAGCUUCAUAUAACAUAUAUUUAUGAUAAUCAAGUAAUCAGGUGGUCAAGUAACAAGUAAGUUGGUGAUCACGUAAGCAGAUAACAAGUAAGCAAGUAACCAAUAGAUUAGAAAACGGUAAGUAAACACGGUAAACGGUUAACGGUAGUAAUUACGGUUAAUUGGUAGACAUAUGUCAUUUCAAUAGGCCGCCAUUGGCCGUUUUUCACUUUCACCACGUAAGAGUCGAGGAGAUUUACUCCAACCGACUUAUGCUUCCAUAGCAUAAUUAAUCAUUUAAACACAUCAUGUAAAUAUGCUCUCCAAACAUUUCAUAUCUAGUAUUUCAAGUAAUCACAUAAGUAUGCUCUUUAAGCAUUUCAUAUCAAUAGUUCAAAUAUACCUACUUCAGGUGUUUCAUGUCGAGUAAUUCAAGUAUAUUAUUCAAAUGCAUGAGUGUGGUAAAUACUUAAUGACCAUGGGUUAAGCAUGUCAUAGACUUAUUCCAAUUACGUAUUCCUAUAUGGAACACUCACCUAGUCAAAACAAGCGAGUAGUUCUCAAACAAGCGUUUUAGGUGUCCGCUCCGAGUUCCUCUGGGAGAUUCCCUCGAGUGCCUGAGCAAACAAUAAUCAACUACCACUCAAAAUCAUUCUAAUUAUCGAGGAAAAUUGUACACUAGUACAAUCUAAGAAAUUAACGCAGAGAGAGCAAGAAGAGUUCGUGUAACUCGAGGUUCAAAAGUGGGUUUUAAAAUACAAGACAAAUCUGAUUUCCAUCUUUGAAAUCAAAUGUAAAACGAUCAAAUGAUAUUGAAGGAAAAUGGAGGGUUUGAAACCCUUAGUUUCCUUUAAGUUAGAAAAUUCCAGAUUUAACAAGCAAUAUUUGAAAAAUCAUAUUUCACUCUCCACAAGUCCAAAAUUGGAAAACUUGGUACUGUUGGAAUCCUCUUUCAAAGUACUAAAAGUUCUUAGAAGACACUUUUCCACGAAUGUAAGUGAAAGGCACUCAAAUUUUGGCUCAAAGUUGGUAACUUGAAUUACCAAGACAGAUUUAAGUUGGUUUUUGGCCAACUUUAGAAAUUCGGCAAAAUUCACUUGUUUUGAACUAACCUUUGAAAUUUGGAAAUCAAUUAGUGUUGCAAUCCAAGAGUAUAACAAAACAAGCGGAACGAGAAACGGAGUUUCGAGCACCAAGAUAUAGUACCUCCAAGUUGCUGAAAAAGUUAAGACUGUUGGGCUAUUUUCCAGGUUUAAAACUAGAUUUGAAAUAUCAUUUGGUCAUCAAGUUGGCAUUAGAAAUACAUAAACUUGGUACACUAAAUCUUCCAUGUGUGAACAACAUUUCUACUAAGUUUCGUACAAAAACUCUCACGGUAAGGUAGUCAUUAAAACAACCAAAGUUUAUGAAGAGUUUCAAGGCUAAACUACCUUCUCACUUUUCUUUUGUUUACAAACUUUUUGUACCAUGAAAUCAGUUCCAAAUCUCUCCAUUAUUGAAACCAAGAGUUCAUAAACAUCCACUGAGCAAUUUAAAGACCAUUGACAUCCAAAUUCUAGAAAUAAAACUCUCCAAAUCAGAUUUGACCAUUUGGCUAAGAGAAAACAAAAGUUUUCCAGAUUCGAUGAGCGAAUUUUGUGACAUCAUUUGCAUAUCAAAAUGGUCUUAGAAUAUUACCAAAUUUUGUACAAUUAAACCUCCAUAUGAGGAUUACUCUUCUAUCAAAUUUCAUUUGAAAAUUCACACGGGAAGGUAGUUAACUAAACCAUCAAAGUUCAGGAAAUUUCCCAAGGUAAAACUGUCUUCUAGCUCUUCUUUCCUUUUUAAACAUUUUGUCCAAAGCAACCAACCCAAAUCUGGUUUAUUUGUAAAACAAAGUCCAAGGAACAUCUAAUAUAAAGUUUGGUAGAUGUCGGACAUCAAAUUUCCAAAACAACAAGUCCCAAAUCAUUGUAGUUAACUGUCAAAAAAUUUAUCACUGUAGCAGUUUCAAACUUUGGCCACAACUCACUCAUUCAACUUGGAAUUGGGCGUGGUUGAUGGCGUUGGAAAGCUCUCUUCUAAAGCUGAAUUUUCUCAGAAGAAACCAUUUUCAAAUUCCAUUCACAAACAGCUCGUUUUUGAGCAUCAAGAAGAAUUUCUGUCCUGUCUCCUGGAGAGCAACGAAACAGGACAGUGAUUUUCAAUCGAAUGGUGUGGCUCACUCAAGUGGAACCAGAACGUGAAUUUAGUACCAAUGGAAAGCUGGAAUGUCUAGUUUCCAAUGCCGCAAACGGCACUUGAUUUCGACAUCGGAACAAAGAGUUAUGGCCGUUACAAAAUGACUGCCUGGGCAAUACGGGAUUCAUUUUCCAGUUUUGCUAACUUUGAAAUCAAUCAUUUGACCAACCAAAUCAUGUUAUUUUUCAAUGAAAUUUUGUACACACUCACAAUAACAUGUAAACAACAUAAUCAAGCCAUUAGAACUUCAAAAUUUUGCACAAAAGUGGUCGGACAAGGCAGGGGUAAAAUCGGAAACUUUUGCCUCUUGCACCCAAUGAAAUUUCUGUCAAUUACACACCAUUAAUCCAUCAUUUUAACCACUAAACCAACAAUAUAUCCACCAUCAAUCAUCAAAUCAGCAACAACCCAAGUGUGGGAAUCCAUAGAGCCCACUUUCACAUUUUUCCAACAAUAUCAAGAUACCCAUACACAUGCAAUAGCUUAAGGAUGCAUUUCUACCAUCAUAAACCAAGCUUAAGGUGUAGGAUGAGGUUAUACCUCCUUGUUGCUUUAAACCAGAAAUUUCGGUCCUCAAGAUGCUCCAAGAAACCGUGAGAAACUCCUCCUUUUUCUAGCUAGAUGAUCUCUCCACGUGACAAGCUAAGUGUAGUUCAAAUUUGGUGUGAAUCCAUGAAGUUUUUGUGCAAGAAUUGAG
Molecule: long non-coding RNA, 3666 nt
Filed under: Coffea arabica (coffee)
Lineage: Eukaryota; Viridiplantae; Streptophyta; Magnoliopsida; Gentianales; Rubiaceae
Description: long non-coding RNA (CARA_LNC003422)
Source: RNAcentral